AAUUGGAAUGAGUACACCUUAAAUCGUUUAACGAGUAUCAAUUGGAGGGCAAGUCUGGUGCCAGCAGCCGCGGUAAUUCCAGCUCCAAUAGCGUAUAUUAAAGUUGCUGCAGUUAAAAAGCUCGUAGUUGGAUCUGGGGCUUGAGGUCGCCGUCUAUCGUUUCGGCGAUGACGGUGAUGCUCAGCUCUGCUUGCCGGUGACUGUUGCGGUGUUCUUCACUGAGCGCUGUAGCAGCACGGCACGUUUGCUUUGAAAAAAUUAGAGUGCUCAAAGCGUGCUUGUCGCUUGAAUAAUGUUGCAUGGAAUAAUGGAAUAGGACCUCGGUUCUAUUUUGUUGGUCUCCGGAGCUUGAGGUAAUGAUUAAGAGGGGCGAACGGGGGCAUUCGUAUUGCGGUGUUAGAGGUGAAAUUCUUGGAUCGCCGCAAGACGGACUACUGCGAAAGCAUUUGCCAAGAACGCUUUCAUUAAUUAAGAACGAAAGUCAGAGGUUCGAAGACGAUCAGACACCGUCCUAGUUCUGACCAUAAACGAUGCCGACCAGCGAUCCGUAGUGGUUGCUUUAUGGACCCUACGGGCAGCCUCCGGGAAACCAAAGUAUUUGGGUUCCGGGGGAAGUAUGGUUGCAAAGCUGAAACUUAAAGGAAUUGACGGAAGGGCACACCAGGAGUGGAGCCUGCGGCUUAAUUUGACCCAACACGGGAAAACUCACCCGGUCCGGACACCGUAAGGAUUGACAGACUGAUAGCUCUUUCUUGAUUCGGUGGAUGGUGGUGCAUGGCCGUUCUUAGUUGGUGGAGUGAUUUGUCUGGUUAAUUCCGAUAACGAACGAGACUCUAGCCUGCUAAGUAGUGUUGCUAUUGUUAUAUGGUUGACACUUCUUAGAGGGACAAGUGGCAUUUAGCCACGCGAAAUUGAGCAAUAACAGGUCUGUGAUGCCCUUAGAUGUCCGGGGCCGCACGCGCGCUACACUGGAGAAGUCAGCGUGUGUUAUCCAAGUCCGAAAGGACUGGGUAAUCCGUUGAACCUUCUUCGUGCUUGGGACUGUGGCUUGGAACUAUUCCACAUGAACGAGGAAUUCCUAGUAAUUGCAAGUCAUAAGCUUGCGUUGAUUACGUCCCUGCCCUUUGUACACACCGCCCGUCGCUACUACCGAUUGAAUGGUUUAGCAAGGUCCUCGGAUCGUGGCCGUAGGGGCACGCAAGUGUUUCUGCGGUUUGCGAGAAGACGACCAAACUUGAUCAUUUAGA
Molecule: ribosomal RNA, 1247 nt
Filed under: metagenome
Description: SSU rRNA
Rfam family: Eukaryotic small subunit ribosomal RNA
Source: RNAcentral